CAGAGACUGCAAGCGUUAUUCGGAUUCACUGGGCGUAAAGGGUGCGCAGGCGGUCGUGUGUGUCAGAUGUGAAGUCCCGGAGCUUAACUCCGGAACUGCGUCUGAAACUACAUGACUAGAGCAUUGGAGAGGGAAGUGGAAUUCAUGGUGUAGCAGUGAAAUGCGUAGAUAUCAUGAGGAACACCAGAGGCGAAGGCGACUUCCUGGACAAUUGCUGACGCUCAGGCACGAAAGCAUGGGGAGCAAAAGGGAUUAGAUACCCCUGUAGUCCAUGCCCUAAACGGUGCACACUAGGUCUUGGAGGAUUCGACCCCUUCAGGGCCCAAGCUAACGCGUUAAGUGUGCCGCCUGAGGACUACGGUCGCAAGACUA
This 372-nucleotide ribosomal RNA is filed under the name uncultured organism. RNAcentral's name for it is "bacterial SSU rRNA". It matches the Rfam family "Bacterial small subunit ribosomal RNA", at positions 526 to 896 of the family's 1533-position model. The record is from RNAcentral.